GGACCCGCACAAGCAGCGGAGCAUGUGGUUUAAUUCGAAGCAACGCGAAAAACCUUACCAAGACUUGACAUCGUAUGACCGCUAUAGAAAUAUGGUUUUCCCUUCGGGGACAUAUAGACAGGUGGUGCAUGGUUGUCGUCAGCUCGUGUCGUGAGAUGUUGGGUUAAGUCCCGCAACGAGCGCAACCCUUGUGAAUAGUUGCCAAUAUUAAGUUAGGAACUCUAUUCAGACUGCCGUGGAUAACACGGAGGAAGGUGGGGAUGACGUCAAAUCAUCAUGCCCCUUACGUCUUGGGCUACACACGUGCUACAAUGGCUAUUACAAAGAGCAGCGAAUCGGCAACGAGGAGCGAAUCUCAUAAAGAUAGUCUCAGUUCGGACUGUGGGCUGCAACCCGCCCACACGAAGUCGGAGUUGCUAGUAAUCCCGAAUCAGCAUGUCGGGGUGAAUGCGUUCCCGGGUCUU
RNAcentral lists this ribosomal RNA (464 nucleotides) under uncultured bacterium. RNAcentral describes it as "bacterial SSU rRNA". It matches the Rfam family "Bacterial small subunit ribosomal RNA", at positions 917 to 1382 of the family's 1533-position model. The record is from RNAcentral.